UUCACAGUGAGUAAAAGUGUUGACUGUUCAAAAACUCGUAUCAGAAAACAAUAAUGUAAGUACAGGAGCAGAAUCAUUAAUACUUGAUUAAUCCAAAGGAGAAAUUUGGUCGGAUAAGACACCUGGAUAAGAUCAGCAAAGACAUGUGAAGUACCUUUUUCAUCCACAUGGGGCGCCAAAAUAGUCGCAAACUACGAGUACCUCACAGGAGCUUUAAAGCUACUCUGAACUUAAAGUUGUUCUCUGAAAUUAAUCUUCUCCCGUCGUCUUUUAACCGCCAUAUGUGUCACCCACUCUGACUCUAGAAAUAAUCACUUUCUCCAUAUGAUCUCUUUUACCUUUGUAGGUCAUGUGGGGGCAUCAGUAUUGAUUUUGUUUAUUUCAUAACCAGUUUAAAAACUCCUCACAGUAGGUUGGAGUUGAUUUCUAAAAGCAAGGCAGUACAAGAUCAGAGAACUACUUCCACCUUUGAUGAGGUCAUAUACGUGUUUAUCUUGUGUUAUUUACGAGUUACAUAUAUAAGUUGAUGAUGUUGAACACUGCCACCCAUGUAAGCAGGAGGAUCAGGAUCAGGUUAUUUCACAGCAGCUCCUGUUUCACUCUUUACACUCCUGACCUGUACAGUGACUUGUUGAAGCAACUUUUUCUCAAGAACAGUGAGGUCAAGAUGUCAGAAUUAAAUAACUCCAGGUCCUUUACAGGAUCAGAAUAGAUUUUUAUUGUCAAGUAUACAUUUACACAUUUGACUUGGUGUUUUGGUGCAAGCAAUUAACAAAGGAACUAAAGCAAAAAUAGCAGGAAUUAAAAAAAUAUAAAAUAUAAGAAGCAAUUACAAAUAUAUAUAAUAUAGUAUAAAAAAAUAUAAAAACACAAAAUGUACAAAAGA
Molecule: long non-coding RNA, 886 nt
Organism: Labrus mixtus (cuckoo wrasse)
Lineage: Eukaryota; Metazoa; Chordata; Actinopteri; Labriformes; Labridae
Exons: 2
Source: RefSeq, a predicted model, not a curated record